CCCUUCGAUGUUCUGGGCCGCGCGCGUGCUACACUGAGUAAUUCAAUGGGUAAGGGAACGCUAGAGCAUUACCUAAUCUUGAAAUUUGCUCGUGAUGGGGAUCGACGGUUGCAAUUUUCCGUCGUGAACGAGGAAUACCUUGUAGGCGCAUGUCAUCAUCAUGCGCCGAAUACGUCCCUGCCCUUUGUACACACCGCCCGUCGCUCCUACCGAUUGAGUGAUCCGGUGAGGCUCUGGGACCUGGACGGAAAGAGCGUUUCGCUUGUUCUGUUUGGGAAACUUGGUCGAACCUUAUCAUUUAGAGGAAGGAGAAGUCGUAACA
This 322-nucleotide ribosomal RNA is filed under the name uncultured eukaryote. RNAcentral describes it as "partial 18S ribosomal RNA". It matches the Rfam family "Eukaryotic small subunit ribosomal RNA", at positions 1470 to 1796 of the family's 1831-position model. The record is from RNAcentral.